UAGCCCUGAGAGAGGGAGUGAAUGUUACACGCUGCUGAUAAUCUCCAGAAGUGAUCCAUUUCUGUAAUCGGAUCUCUUCUCCAGUCAGAGAGACCUAACACAUCAGUCUUCAUAUAUCAUCUUCAUGAGCUAAAUUGCCAGAGAAGUUUAUGAUCUAACUUCAGAAAAAUUCUCUGUGAAAACAAAUCAUUUAUUUUUCCAGAUGCCUGGACUGGAGUAUGCAACAUGCGACAUUCAAGGAUUAUCUUGUACUGGAAUUCCAGAACAGUGUGAAACAGAAAGAAGCAAAAGAAAUACAAAACUAACAUGGGAAAUAUUGGGAGAAAAAGUGGAAAGAGAGAAAUCCUGCCAUUUCUGCUAAUCUACUUGAGCUUUCAAAUACUUUUUCUUUUUGAGCUCUCAAAUAUGAAAGUUCAAAAUUCAAUGCACUCACAAUAAAUUUGGAUACAUGGCUUGAUAAGGAGUAUGG
Molecule: long non-coding RNA, 469 nt
Filed under: Anser cygnoides (Swan goose)
Lineage: Eukaryota; Metazoa; Chordata; Aves; Anseriformes; Anatidae
Description: lncRNA (ENSACDG00005006118.1)
Source: RNAcentral